Molecule: long non-coding RNA, 999 nt
Filed under: Gossypium barbadense (sea-island cotton)
Lineage: Eukaryota; Viridiplantae; Streptophyta; Magnoliopsida; Malvales; Malvaceae
Description: long non-coding RNA (GBAR_LNC017577)
Source: RNAcentral
AUUCAAUUUUACUUUGCAUACUUAGUCAUUCAUUCUAUUACUUUUUACUUCAAUUCUCUAUACAUGCCAUAUAAAUCCAAAAAGUUAUUUAACAAAAUCUACCGGAGUAUAUCUGGAUAGUGUGAUUCUCGAUGUAGAUCCGAUCCUCCGAAUGUAUAAAUACGUUAAUCUACAAAAAACAAUAAACACACACAUGUAAGCUUAUAGAAAAGCUUAGUAAGUUCAUAGGCAUAAAACAUAAAUCUUACCAAACAUUUGUACACUUAUACAAUAUACACCAUUACUAAGUUUACCUGUCAACCACAAUCUUUGGUGAGUUCCUUGGUAUAAACUCACUACUACUUAUUCUUUUACCAUAAUUCCUUUGGGCCCAUUUGUCACUUACCAUCCUUGAUCAAAAUUAAGGAACGGUUACGGAAAAUUGAGUACUUCACUUUCACUUUACCAUAGUAUAACUAUGGUCUUACGUAUGAUCACUUAUCAUUUGUCCUUGAUCAGAUAAGUGUAGCUAAGCUACCACUUAUCACUUUGUCACUUGAUCAGAUAAGUAUAGCACUUAUCACUUUUUCACUUGAUCAGAUAAGUGUAGCUAAAGCUACCACUUAUCACUUUGCCUCUUGAUCAGAUAAGUGUAGCACUUAUCACUUUUUCACUUGAUCAAAUAAGUGUAGCUAAAGCUACCAUUUAUCACUUUAUCUCUUGAUCAGAAGUACUCAAAUCUGGCGUUCCGCUAAAUUUGAUCUUUAUUCGAUUUUUGCAUUUUUAUUUUACUCUCAUUUCAACACUAAAUAUAUUUCAUCAUACAUUAUAUAAUUCAUGAAAUUAACAUUUAAUCAUUAAAUUUAGUCAUAUGAACUUACCUGGGUCGAUUUGCAGAAUUUGUAAAAGUUCAGGGACUAAUCAACUACUUUUUAUUUUCCUCGGCUUGCUUCGGGUUCUCGAUCUAAAAUACAAAUUUAUUCAUUCAUCAGCAUAUAAUUCUAUUCUAAUUCAUUUCAC